RNAcentral lists this long non-coding RNA (587 nucleotides) under Selaginella moellendorffii. RNAcentral describes it as "long non-coding RNA (SMOE_LNC001022)". The record is from RNAcentral. Lineage: Eukaryota; Viridiplantae; Streptophyta; Lycopodiopsida; Selaginellales; Selaginellaceae.
ACGGUGGUGGCGGAGGUGGUGGCGGAGGAGGAGGAUUCACGAGCGUGGAAUCGGAGGAGAAGCACUUGUUGUUGGUGGUGGUGGUGAUGGUGGCAGUGGUGGUGGUGGUGUUGGAGACGCCACCCAUUUUGAUCUCCUCCGCAUUCCACUGCCACCGAUUUCUCUUCCUUCGCUGCUCACCGGAGCAGCAUCACUGUCGCAAAGAAUUCGUGAGGAUGGAGAGCAACGGAAGAACACAAGAACGAAGAGCAGCGAUAGAUUUUUUAAACCGCCCAAAAUCCGAUCCCCGAAUCCGCCCCGAGAGAUCGAGAUCGAGAUCGAGAGAGAGAGAGAGAGAGAGAGAGAGAGAGGAGACCCACCAAAGCGCUGCGCUGCUAAGCGUGAAUGGGCGACAAACGCAUUGACGCGGCGGCCAUAGCGAUAGCUUCUUCGCGUAAGCUAUCCUUUCCGUUCUCCUAUCAAGGCAUUGGCUGGCGCUGUCUUCGUUCACUCUAUCUAUCUAGGAAGGGGAGAGAGAGUGAGAGAGGAGGGAGAAGACUCUACAGUGUGGAAGCGCUAGCGGGGGCGCGGCGAAGCAUUAGCAGAAG